RNAcentral lists this long non-coding RNA (1192 nucleotides) under Ornithorhynchus anatinus (platypus). RNAcentral's name for it is "lncRNA (ENSOANG00000049336.1)". The record is from RNAcentral. Lineage: Eukaryota; Metazoa; Chordata; Mammalia; Monotremata; Ornithorhynchidae.
CGUCACUUCUGUGCCUCAGUUACUUCUGUGGGCCUCAGUUGCCUCAUCUGUCAAAUGGGGAUGAAGACUGUGAGCCCCAUGAGGGACAGGGAUUGUGCCCGACCUGAUUUGCUCACGUCCACCCCGAUGCUUAGUGUGAAGUAAGUGUUUAACGAACACCGCAGUUAGUAUUGUUAAGUGGCAGUGGUGGGAGGGGAACCCACGUCUUCUGCCUCUUUAUAUUAGGUCACGCCGCUUCCCCGAAGAUUGGAAUCCACGGCAGGGCAAGUAGCCCUCCCGGGGCCCCGGCACCGUUUAAUCCCGCCAACGAUUUGGGUGGUAGCAGGCACGGAGCACCGAGAUAUAAGAGAAUGAGAAGGAAAAGACUAUAAACUCGUCGCGGGCAGGGAACGUGUCUGUUUAUUGUUAUAUUGUACUCUUCCCAGCGUGUAGGACAGUGCUCUGUGCACAAAAAGCGCCCAAUAAAUACGACUGAAUGAAUGAAUGAGUGAUAUCCUGAAUCUCAAAGUGAGCCCUCAUCUCUCUGUUUCAGUUUUAGAUGCUCAUCGAGACUUAUCCUUUCCUGGAUUGGUGAACUAGUUGCCGAGGAAUCCGUCGUUCCCGGGCCAGAGCUCUGAAAGUCGCUACUGAGGCAGCCCAGGCACAGACUCUCUCUCCUCCACUCUGCCUUCCUUCCCCGAAACGUCACGUUCGGUCUGUUGCCGGCGAUCCUGGCUACGGCAGUCCGGACGGCGAAAAUGGAGGUAGGCCGAACGGGCGGAAAAAAACGUAUCCCGGCGAAAUGAAGGGAUUUCCGACGAUCUGGCCGCACACGACUCAGUCGUCAGUGAGAAAUCGACGAGGUGAAAAUGGUCCGCUGGGGAAAUUAAUGGAGAGAAAAUAGGCGAGUCCCCCCCCAGAAUGUAUUACCUCCGGAAUAAAUUUCUCACCCCAACGCGCGUUGCAUUUUGCAACCACCCGACCUCUCUCAACCCUUCAGCCGCCUGUCUGAUCACAGACUCCCACAGAAGAACGCACCCACUUCUCUAGGUCUCCCACAGUGAGUUUGCCUGCCGUAGCCUUAUCGAUUAAUCGGUGGUAAAUGUAUGAGCACUUAUUUCCUCCGCAAUCCGCCAUUCCAGCGGAAGGGCGAGGACCGCACCUCACUUUACCCCAGACCCCCCACGUGAAUACUAGAUUACUUGGUCGUUAC